RNAcentral lists this unclassified non-coding RNA (208 nucleotides) under Hevea brasiliensis (rubber tree). The record is from RNAcentral. Lineage: Eukaryota; Viridiplantae; Streptophyta; Magnoliopsida; Malpighiales; Euphorbiaceae.
GAAAAACUAGGAAAGAUAAGAAUGCUUCUUGUUAGUACCAGCAUUGGUGGUGUUGUGUUAUUUUUAUCAUUAGAAAGUCUUGAUGGUAGGAAUAUGCAUUUACACAUUCUUUUUGCUCAGUUUUCCAUCAUUUUUUUAUUAGUUUUCCAUCAACUUUUGUGUUUAAUAUGCAAAUGUAUAAACAGAUGUGUUUUCCUUUAUUGAGAGG